Syngnathus acus (greater pipefish) is the source of this 330-nucleotide long non-coding RNA. RefSeq lists it as uncharacterized. The record is from RefSeq and is a predicted model, not a curated record. Lineage: Eukaryota; Metazoa; Chordata; Actinopteri; Syngnathiformes; Syngnathidae. The transcript has 3 exons.
CAGCUGCAGCUUUUUUCUCCCUAUCUCUUUUUUAAUUAGACUGACAGCUGCAGUUAGCUAAUAUGAGUUUUACGUUGUGUGCCAGAAAGCUAGCAAACUUUUCGGACGAAGGAUGAAACAGUUUGAAGCAAACAAGUGGCCAAGUGUUGAGUCACUCAACUGUGGUUCCUGGGACUUGAAUUUCUGAUGAUGAUGUCAUCGUAUGUGGAGAAAUGAACCAGAUCUCACCUAGAGUAGAGAUGGAUGUCAAAACGCCUUAAGAUGGAUUCAAAUAGGCUUGUGUGAGGAUGGUGUGAGGAGCUUCGUCAAUAUGCCACUAGAGGGCGACAU